AGGACGAACGCUGGCGGCGCGCUUAACACAUGCAAGUCGUACGGGGCCCUUCGGGGUUCAGUGGCGAACGGGUGCGUAACACGUGAGUGACCUGCCCUUGUGCGGGGGAUAACCCGGGGAAACCCGAGCUAAUACCGCAUGAACUCAGACUGCUUCAUGGUGGAUUGAGGAAAGGUGCUGUAAGGCACCGCGCAGGGAGGGGCUCGCGGCGUAUCGAGGUAGUUGGUGAGGUAACGGCUCACCAAGCCGAUGACGCGUAGGGGGUCUGAGAGGAUGGCCCCCAG
RNAcentral lists this ribosomal RNA (284 nucleotides) under uncultured soil bacterium. RNAcentral describes it as "partial 16S ribosomal RNA". It matches the Rfam family "Bacterial small subunit ribosomal RNA", at positions 26 to 310 of the family's 1533-position model. The record is from RNAcentral.